RNAcentral lists this transfer RNA (73 nucleotides) under Felis catus (domestic cat). It matches the Rfam family "tRNA". From Rfam's summary of the family: Transfer RNA (tRNA) molecules are approximately 80 nucleotides in length. Their secondary structure includes four short double-helical elements and three loops (D, anti-codon, and T loops). Lineage: Eukaryota; Metazoa; Chordata; Mammalia; Carnivora; Felidae. The record is from Rfam by way of RNAcentral. RNAcentral also lists the same sequence under 1 other name.
GCCUGGUUGGCUCAGUUGGCAGAGCAUGCGACUCUUGAUCUCAAGGUUGUGCGUUCGAGCCUCAUGUUGGGUG